RNAcentral lists this unclassified non-coding RNA (289 nucleotides) under Hevea brasiliensis (rubber tree). Lineage: Eukaryota; Viridiplantae; Streptophyta; Magnoliopsida; Malpighiales; Euphorbiaceae. The record is from RNAcentral.
AGAAAAAACUGCCUUGUGUCAACUACUGCCCGCUCCCAAGUCCCAACCAGAACCAAGCGGCGGAGCGAUGGCGGCGUUUCGGUCUGCAUUCGAUGCCGGGGAGAUGAGAACCGAGUUCGAGAAGGCCGGCAUCAAACCCACCUUCAUCCCCUUCAUUUGGAAGCAUUUGCUUCACGAUCCAAACAACCUAUCCAGCCAGAAUCUGGCAUCCGAAUUCGAAUGGGAGCAAGCCGUGCCUUCGCUGCCGUCGGCGGCCUACUGCUUGCUCCGGUCAAAGUUCAAGCCUCUU